CAGCCGCCACGGUAAUACGAAGGGGGCUAGCGUUGCUCGGAAUGACUGGGCGUAAAGGGCGCGUAGGCGGCGGCCAAAGUCAGGCGUGAAAUUCCCGGGCUCAACCUGGGGGCUGCGUUUGAUACUUGGUUGCUUGAGUGGGAGAGGUGAGUGGAAUUUCCGGUGUAGCGGUGAAAUGCGUAGAUAUCGGAAGGAACACCUGUGGCGAAAGCGGCUCACUGGACCAUAACUGACGCUGAUGCACGAAAGCUAGGGGAGCAAACAGGAUUAGAUACCCCGGUAGUCCCUGUCUCUUAUACAC
RNAcentral lists this ribosomal RNA (301 nucleotides) under uncultured bacterium. Its description in RNAcentral is "partial 16S ribosomal RNA". It matches the Rfam family "Bacterial small subunit ribosomal RNA", at positions 509 to 809 of the family's 1533-position model. The record is from RNAcentral.